Molecule: ribosomal RNA, 419 nt
Filed under: uncultured bacterium
Lineage: Bacteria
Description: bacterial SSU rRNA
Rfam family: Bacterial small subunit ribosomal RNA
Source: RNAcentral
UGGGGAAUAUUGGACAAUGGAUGCAAGUCUGAACCAGCCAUGCCGCGUGCAGGAAGAAGGCCUUCUGGGUCGUAAACUGCUUUUGCCAGGGGAUAAAAUACCGAUGCGUCGGUAAUUGUAGGUACCUGGUGAAUAAGCCACGGCUAACUACGUGCCAGCAGCCGCGGUAAUACGUAGGUGGCAAGCGUUGUCCGGAUUUACUGGGCGGAAAGCGCGCGCAGGCGGAUUGGUCAGUCCGGGGUGAAAUCUCACGGCUCAACUGUGAGCGGUCCCCGGAUACUGCCAGUCUUGAGGUGUCUAGAGGAGAGCGGAAUUCCCGGUGUAGUGGUGGAAUGCGCAGAUAUCGGGAAGAACACCAGUGGCGAAAGCGGCUCUCUGGGGACCACCUGACGCUGAGGCGCGAAAGCGUGGGGAGCGAA